This 1081-nucleotide long non-coding RNA is filed under the name Parus major (Great Tit). RNAcentral's name for it is "lncRNA (ENSPMJG00000004052.1)". The record is from RNAcentral. Lineage: Eukaryota; Metazoa; Chordata; Aves; Passeriformes; Paridae.
AAUUUUUUUUUUUUUUGAGUUUGAAAGUGGUUUAUUGACCACUGACUGGUUAUGAGUUUUCUCAAUGGCUCUGGCCUUUCAAAAUUGCAGGUGAAUUAUUUUCCAUGGACAGCCAGCAGGGCACCCCAAGGAGCUGCUCAGAGCUGUAUCCCAGUGUAUCCCUGAGUGACUCCCACCUCUGCCAGCAUUCUCCAUUUGCACUCCUUCUCCUGGGUGUGAUGGUGUCACAGACCCAGGACUGAACCCUGCUCAAACACUGCUUCUAUUUUCAGUCUGCCUCUUCUUGGACAGGAACCUUGGACAAAUCAUCUCCCUGCAUGCUGCGACCUUCCCAGUGAUGAGAUAAGGAUCAUAAUUUUGAUUUAUAUCACACAUGGAUUCUCAACAGGAGUUCAAAAUACUUUUCUGUUCUAUAUCAAGCACUAAAGUAGUGCUGUGGGCUCCAAAACAACCUCUCCUUCCCUUCUUUCUCCUACUUUCUGCUCCACACAAAAAUCCAAAAAGGAGACUGCAAAACUACUUGCCUAAAGAAAUGAAAUAACAGCGAGCAUUUGCCAAAGCACUCCCACCACUUGAAGCAGUUUGUUUUGCAGAACACUCACUGCCACACUUCUGAGUGAGAAAGAAGCAACAGGAGAGCAAAAUCUUUCCUUUAAUCAUUUCUGAAGAGCUUAUCAUAGUAGCACUGAGAUAUUCAUAGCCCUUUGGUUUCUUGCUGAAUGGAAGUGGAAAAAAGAAUCCAUCUUUCCUUUAAAACCCAAAUGAACAAAAUGGGAAGUUUGAACAAACCUAGAAAAUUAAGAGCUGCUUCUACAGUCAUCACUGAUUUCAGCAGGAACUGAAGAUGCUGAGAGAAAUCCCUGACAACAAAUACCUGUUGAAAAAUUGCCAAAAUAUUUAAAAACAUUACAUUGUUAACAAAAGUGAAAAUUAAGAUUAGAAAAUCAUGCUUGCAAACACUGAGGGGCUAUAGGAAGUGAAGUUCAAACAACAGCCCAGUGCUAAAUUCUAAAUUGCCAAACCACAGAAAAUUCAUCAACAGCAAAAUAAAAGAAUCUUUGAAAGCUUUAUUAAAUAAUUC